This is a long non-coding RNA of Harpia harpyja (harpy eagle), 1546 nucleotides long. RefSeq lists it as uncharacterized. The record is from RefSeq and is a predicted model, not a curated record. The transcript has 3 exons. Lineage: Eukaryota; Metazoa; Chordata; Aves; Accipitriformes; Accipitridae.
AGCACACAAAAUUAGACCGAGGCGCCUGCCGGCAGCUGCCUAGGUAGAAGGAACAAGUUUUCCUACAGUCAUACGCCAGUGGGUUUUUAUGCAUCAUCUCCAGGGGCUGGAGGAGUCCCAAACGUUGUUUGUGGCUCCUAAUCAGUGCCCGGGGCUUGUCGGCUUAGCCUGCCCACAAACGCCUGGAUCAGAGGGAGCCGGGCUCCACCCUUCCUCUUCUGUGCAAAGCGGCUCCGUGCUGUUCCCACUGACUUGCAAUGAACGGGAAGCUAAAAACACCUUCUAGCCAGGGCAGACGUAGCCCAAAAGCUGCUCGGAAACUGUGUUUUAAUGCUCUUCUUUUUCCACCUAGAGAAGAGCAUUUUCCCAAGACUCUGGAGAGCAUCUUCUCUGCCACUGAUUUCCUAUGUGACUUGGCUGCUGCCCUGCCAGGCAAGCCAAGGGUGAAGAUACUGCUGGGAGAUGGAGUCAAGCUGGGGUGAAUGUCCCUUACUGCAGAACCAGCACAUGCUCGAGAAACUUGACAGCAAACCACAUGUCACUAUUUCUGCUGGAGACCUAAUCAAGGGCUUUCCAUCACCAGUGCCCUGUCAUAUUCAACACAGGUUUUAGAAACUUAUUCUUUAUUUCUGGUGUCUGGCAAUCCAGCCAUCUUCCCUUUCUUUCUCUGCAUUUUGAAGGAAGCCCUACCAACACUCACAGGGCACCUAAACCAGCAAAGCCUUUGCACAGACGUGCAUCCCCUCCGAUUGUAGGAGACCUGGUUUGUGCAACUGCAUGCAGACAUGCCUGUGGAAACAAUACCUGGAAACAAACACAGAGCUACCCGAUUGCUAUUAAUAUAUACUAGUGGGAUCCCAGCUACAAGCUUGUGGGCUGUACAAGAACCAGAGAAGAAAACUCUGAAGCUGUGGUCUAGGCCUUGCCAUUGAGUUUGAUCCCUGAAUCCUGAAAACUUCACCCUCAUCACUCCCUCUAGCCACUUGCUUGAUGGAGCAGAAGGUGAGAAUCCCCAUGGACAUCUAUUUUUCUACAGAAACUGCGCUCAUAGCUGACACAGUCUGCUUAUAUCAGUGGCGGAUCUCCUUUAGAUGAAAGGUAAAAAGGACUGCUCUGCCAAAACAGAAGACAACCCAACAAACGAGCUUUGCCUGCUUAUUGAACAGUUUCACUUAAAAGCAUUGCAACGGUGUGGUGUUUCAGCACAAGAACACACUGGUAGGACAUGAUGGCACUUGUUCUCAAUGGUUUAUGCCUUAUAUUCAACCCCAAUGAGGAUGCAGACCUGAUGCUUUUAAUUCCAAGGUGCCUGCUGCAGCCCAGGUUAAAAUGAGCUUUUGAAGGGUUUUGCUCAUUUUCUAAUGCAUCAGGGAUAAUUCUGGGCUGCACUUUGGAGAUGUAGGGUUGCAUAUUUUUAAGGCCAAGAGCAAUUAAAAAAAUAAUUCACCCUUUCUGCUGAAUAUGAAAAAUACAGGGAAGCCCCCAAAAUGCAAGCAUUUCUUCUUGCAUUAGGAAACUUGUUGUUUUAAGGUCAAAAUUAACACUG